Asparagus officinalis (garden asparagus) is the source of this 2088-nucleotide long non-coding RNA. RefSeq lists it as uncharacterized. The record is from RefSeq and is a predicted model, not a curated record. The transcript has 2 exons. Lineage: Eukaryota; Viridiplantae; Streptophyta; Magnoliopsida; Asparagales; Asparagaceae.
UUAUAUUUGCAAUGUGAAAGGAUUUCACUGCAGUCUGCAUGACUACUUAUUUUGUCUGAGUUCGUGCUACUUUGACAUAUAUGUCAUUGAUAAACAAUUUUACAAGACGAAACUGUUUAGCGAAGUAAUUAUUUUUCUCUAGGCUUUUUACUGAAGUACUGAAACCAUGUCAUUUUUGUUAUUUUAGAAUUAAGACUAUUGUGAUUUACAAUGUGUGUGCAACACAGUUAGUAAUAAGAAUGCUAUUGAAAAUGAUCAAUAUAAGUUGUUGAAACACUGAACAUGUGAAAUAGUGAAAGUUUGUUUUGAAUUAAAGAAAAAACAUAUACAUGUGAAUUUCGCCAGCACUUAGUUUAAGUGACUUUAUUGGAAUUUAUGAUUGUGUUUUACAUAUAAUAUCUCCCUGGCAAUCAAGAGGCACAAAUGCCUAUUUCAAGAAAACAAUCCUUACAAUUAUGUAGUACAACUAAGUAAAAACAAGUAUUGCUAAGAUGUUGUAGUAUUCUAUUGAUACAAUCAUCAGUGUUUAAUUAGGUUUGCCCAAUUCAUCGUACUUUAUCUGCUAUGUUGGUCCAUAGCUGAAACUUCAAGUUUAUAUUAUCUUACCUGAUCUGGUGCCUCUAUCUGAUAGUUUAGUCCAUGGCUGAAACAUCAAGUUUAUAUUAUCUUACCUGUAAGGUGCCUCUAUCUGAUACUUUAGUCCAUGGCUGAAACAUCAAGUUUAUAUUAUCUUACCUGUCUGGUGCCUCUAUCUGAUACUUUAGUCCAUAGCUGAAACAUUAAGUUUAAAAAGUAAAUUAAAUUGCUAUACUAUGUUCAAGUAUGGAACCAUAAUGGAAACCAGGAUACACAUAAAAAAAAAAGAAUAAUAGGUAUGCUGGUGGGCAGUGGCGGAUCCAGGAAUAUUUUGGAUGAUAAUCUGAGAUCAUUGGUCGAAGUCCAGGAUCUGCCGGAAGAUCUUUCAAGUGCACUACUUUGCUUUGCUUUGCACUAGUUUAUAAAUUCUCAAGAUUGUUUAAAGUUGGAGUAGUUGAUGGCUGCUCCAUUCAUGACUUUCUCUUGCGAUAUUUAUCCAUAACUAGAAAAAAAUUAAGCAAGUUCACCUAUAAUUUUUUACUUAUUUUAAUUACUAAAACUCAUGAAUUACAAAAUUUCCUUUCUACGAUGUCUAAUUCUAUAUAGUAUGACCCAAAUUCUCAAAAGGACAAUACAUUAAUCAUAGAAUCCCUUUACACUUGGUGUUGUACUUUUACUUGUGCUCAUUAAUUACAACAAAGAAUAUGGGUUUGGAUUUUAGUAUUACUUUUGGGUUUCUAUUAUUAUAUUUUUAGUUGGGCUCCCAUAACUUUAUUGUUGGAAAUUUAUAUGGGUUUGAACUUCCAAUGGACUAAUUCAAAUUUUGUUACUCAUUUCUUCAGUGCUCUAGUAAGUUGGGCCAGGUGUGCAAUCCUCAAAAUACAUUUUUUUUUGUUUUUUGUUUUGUUUUUUUUUUUUUUUUUUUUUUUGGGGGGGGGGGUUGCAGAUUGUAAACCCAACGAGGGUUCAUAUGCUAAUUUGGAAAUUUUAGGGGUGCACCUGCACCCCUAGCCUUGUCUAUAAAUCUGCCCCUGCUGGCGGGUUCAUGUCGAUGUAACUGGAGAUAACAACAUGCAUAAGGUGUAACCUUCUUUGUACUUCCUAGGAUAAAGCUGAAUCUUAUUGGAGUUUUUAGGUUGUAUAAGCUUAUAAGUGUGUGUCCAGGGCAGUAGGUGUUCUAACUUAUGAGCUGGUCUUUAAGGUUUUACAGUAUGAUUCUACAUUGCUCGUAACACCCUCGGUGAGGUAAGUAGAUCCUGUUCACAAUCUUCAUUUGACAAAGAUUUAAGUCAUGGAUGAAGGGGUUUAAGUGUUUAACCCCUCUUUAACUGGCAAAAGGGGCUGGGGCAUGGGUUUCGGGGGUUAACCAGGUUUUAACUUCCAAAUACUAGUGGGGUUUAACCAGAUUUUAACUUCCAAACACUAAAAACCAACAGGCAUUUAGAUAAACCAUAAAAGAAGGAUUAAGAGGGGUUACUGUUUCAAACCUGGGUGCUCAUUGUUCUGUCUCCC